Elephantulus edwardii (Cape elephant shrew) is the source of this 3717-nucleotide RNA transcript. It is a transcript of the gene named TAO kinase 3 pseudogene, with no coding region annotated. The transcript has a single exon. NCBI's taxonomy places the organism in Eukaryota, Metazoa, Chordata, Mammalia, Macroscelidea, Macroscelididae. The record is from RefSeq and is a predicted model, not a curated record.
CACCAGAAAUCUGCAAGGUUGAAGUUAUAAAAGAAAAGAUCGCUGCUAAAAUGAAUUUGAGCACUAUAGCAUGUUUUGUGCCACAUAUGAAAAGGUAUUGAAGAUUUACAGAAAAGCAAAGAAAGAGAACUGUCAAUGAGAGAGGAAAUCUAACUGGGCUGACAAAAAGGAGAGUGGUCGCUGCAUUGGCCAUCAUGCCUAAAGGGGUGCCCAAGGGCCCAGAGAUUGCUGACCUAUUCUACAAAGAUGACCCCGAAGAACUUUUUAUUGGUUUACAUGAAAUUGGACAUGGAAGCUUUGGAGCCGUUUAUUUUGCCACAAAUGCUCAUACCAACGAGGUGGUGGCCAUUAAGAAAAUGUCCUACAGUGGCAAGCAGAUGCAUGAGAAAUGGCAGGAUAUUCUUAAGGAAGUAAAAUUUCUACGACAACUGAAGCAUCCGAACACCAUAGAAUAUAAAGGCUGUUACCUGAAAGAGCACACUGCCUGGUUGGUGAUGGAAUAUUGCUUAGGCUCAGCGUCAGAUCUGUUAGAAGUUCAUAAGAAACCACUGCAGGAAGUGGAGAUCGCUGCCAUUACCCAGGGUGCUUUGCAGGGGUUGGCCUACCUGCAUUCUCAUGCUCUGAUUCAUAGGGAUAUUAAAGCAGGCAAUAUUCUUCUAACAGAGUCCGGUCAGGUGAAACUGGCCGAUUUUGGAUCUGCCUCCAUGGCCUCUCCCGCCAACUCCUUUGUGGGCACACCUUACUGGAUGGCACCGGAGGUGAUCUUAGCAAUGGAUGAAGGACAGUAUGAUGGGAAAGUUGAUGUUUGGUCCCUUGGGAUCACCUGCAUUGAAUUAGCGGAACAGAAGCCCCCCCUUUUCAACAUGAAUGCAAUGAGUGCAUUAUACCACAUUGCCCAGAAUGACUCCCCAACGUUACAGUCUGAUGAAUGGACAGACUCCUUCAGAAGGUUCGUUGAUUACUGCUUACAGAAAAUACCUCAGGAAAGACCAACGUCAGUGGAACUAUUACGGCAUGAGUUUGUCCGACGAGACCAGCCACUACGAGUCCUCAUUGACCUCAUACAGAGGACGAAAGAUGCUGUCUGUGAUCUUAAUAACCUGCAGUACCGAAAAAUGAAAAAGAUCCUUUUCCAAGAGACACGGAAUGGACCCCUGAAUGAAUCCCAAGAAGAUGAAGAAGACAGGGAAACGGACAGCCUGGGCAGCAACCAUUCCAUCCCAAGCAUGUCUGUGAGCACGGGCAGCCAGAGCAGCAGUGUCAACAGCAUGCAGGAGGUCAUGGACGACAGCAGCUCCGAGCUGGUCAUGAUGCAGGAGGACGGAAGCACAAUAAACUCCAGCUCCUCCAUCGUGCACAAGAGGAAGGAUCAUGUAUUCAUAAGGGAUGAGGCGGGCCACAGCGAUCCCAGGCCUGAGCCGCGGCCUACCCACUCAGUCCAGAGCCAGGCCCUCCACUACCGGAACAGGGAGCGCUUUGCCACGAUCAAAUCAGCAUCUUUGGUUACACGGCAGAUCCACGAGCAUGAGCAGGAGAACGAGUUGCGAGAACAGAUGUCAGGUUAUAAGCUGAUGCGGCGCCAGCACCAGAAGCAGCUGAUCGCCCUGGAGAACAAGCUGAAGGCUGAGAUGGACGAGCACCGCCUCAAGCUCCAGAAGGAGGUGGAGACGCAUGCCAACAACUCGUCCAUCGAGCUGGAGAAGCUGGCCAAGAAACAAGUGGCUAUCAUAGAAAAAGAGGCAAAGGUAGCUGCAACAGAUGAGAAGUUCCAGCAACAGAUCUUGGCCCAGCAGAAGAAGGACUUGGCAACUUUCUUAGAGAGUCAGAAGAAGCAGUAUAAGAUUUGUAAGGAAAAGAUAAAGGAGGAAAUGAAUGAGGAUCAUAGCACACCCAAGAAGGAGAAGCAGGAGCGGAUAUCCAAGCAUAAAAAGAACUUGCAGCACACACAGGCCGAAGAGGAAGCCCACCUCCUGACUCAGCAGAGACUGUACAACGACAAAAACUGUCGUUUCUUCAAGCGGAAAAUAAUGAUCAAGCGGCACGAGGUGGAGCAGCAAAACAUUCGGGAGGAACUAAAUAGAAAGAGGACACAGAAGGAGAUGGAGCACGCCAUGCUGAUCCGGCACGACGAGUCCACCCGAGAGCUGGAAUACCGGCAGCUGCACACGUUACAGAAGCUUCGCAUGGACCUGAUCCGUCUUCAGCACCAGACCGAACUGGAGAACCAGUUCGAAUACAACAAGCGGCAAGAAAGGGAACUGCACAGAAAGCAUGUCAUGGAACUCCGGCAACAGCCAAAAAACUUAAAGGCCAUGGAAAUGCAAAUAAAAAACAGUUUCAGGACACUUGCAAAGUACAGACCAAGCAGUAUAAAGCACUCAAGAAUCACCAGUUGGAAGUUACUCCAAAGAAUGAGCACAAAACACUCUUAAAGACUUUGAAAGACGAGCAGACGAGAAAACUUGCAAUUUUGGCAGAGCAGUAUGAACAGAAUAUAAAUGAAAUGACGGUCUCUCAAGCGUUAUGGCUCAACGAGGCUGAAGAAGCAGAAUGCCAGGCCUUGAGGCUACAGCUCCAGCAGGAAAUGGAGCUGCUCAACGCCUACCAGAGCAAAAUCAAGAUGCAAACCGAGGCACAACACGAGCGCGAGCUCCAGAAGCUGGAGCAGAGGGUGUCUCUGCGCAGAGCACACUUGGAGCAGAAGAUUGAAGAAGAGCUGGCGGCCCUUCAGAAAGAACGCAGCGAGAGAAUCAAGUACCUGUUAGAAAGGCAGGAGAGAGAGAUCGAGACUUUUGACAUGGAGAGUCUCAGAAUGGGAUUUGGGAAUUUGGUUACAUUAGAUUUUCCUAAGGAGGACUAUAGAUGAGAUUAAAUUUUUUUGCCAUUUACAAAAAAAAAAAAAAGAAAACCGAAAAAAGUUCAGACCCUGCGAAACCACAUUCCCCAUUUAAACGGGCGUAGCUCGCGCGCUCGCUCUCUCUCUUUCUCUCUCUCUCUCUCUUACUGACAUUGUGUCGGACUAGUGCCUGUUUAUUCUUACUCCAUCAGGGACCCCCUUCCUCCCCCCAAAGUCAACUUCCAGUGCUGGCCGGAGCCUGGCCGUCUCUUCCAAUCACGCUCCACGUCCCAAUAUCGAUGUGAUCCAAAAAUGUUUCCAUGAAGAGCUGUGGAGACUGUUUUGAAAACCAACCAACCAACCAAUAAACGAACAACAACAACAACAAAGUGGAUGGAUAUUGCUUUAAGCAAUCACUCAUUACCACCAAUCUGUGAAAGUCAAGCAAAAAAGAAAAAGAUACAUUAAUAAAACAAAUCAAUAAUAAAAUACCAAGGGGAAGAGACACACAAUAUCCGCAGCCUUACACCUAAACCAGCUACUGCAUUAUUUUAUUUUAUUAUUUUUGGUAUUUAUUCAUCAGGAAUAAUGAUUAAAAAAUAAAAAAACAAAAGUUUUAUUAAAGAUUGAAAAUUUGAUACAUUUUACAGAAACUUAAUUGUAAUGUACAUACCAGUGGUGACAUAUUAUUACUUUUUGGGGGCUGGGGUGGGGUGGGCGGGGUGAACAGAUCUUGUGAUUUUUAAGAACCUGCUGGCAAGAAUUUCCUUGUCUCCGGCAUACUCUGUAUCAUAAUCAUUUUCUGCCGUUGCAGAGGAUGUGAAUACAUUUAAGGAACUCACAGAAUCUCAGUAGCACAAAUUGGGCUUUGGCAAAUCAUG